UUCACUUGAAUAUUCAAGACUAGAGUUCCAAGGAGAGAGCUGAGAUAAAGAUAUAAAUAUAUGUUUACAUGUAUUUGGUAAUUAUUAAAAUUAUAAUCAUGAAUAAGUUUUCCUGAAAAUAUGUAGGGCAAGAAAAAAAAAGGAAGAAAAGCAGGCCUAGGAACUUUGAGUUCUUUGAAGAUUUCAACAUAAACAGUAAAGGAAGUCCUGCAGCAGAAACUAAUAACAGCAACAUCGCUAGAAAGAAAACGAGAAAACAGUGGUGAUAGAGAAGCUAAUGGCCAAUGGAGGGAGUCCCAAAGGGCAAAAACUUUUCCUUUUUGACUUCACUCUCUGAGAAGUGUGAGAUGGGAAAUGGAAAUCCUGUUUUCUUCUUUUCCCCGUAAGUAAUCAUUUGCUUUGACUAAAUUCCUCUCAGUAAUGCUGACAGGCAUGCUGCCAACAACAGAGCAUUCACUACUUAUUGCUGUUGAACCUGCCCUGCUGGACUCAAGGCUACUCACCAAAGGAGCAUAUUCUGAUCUCCUUCAUAGAGCAAGCCAAAGUGAAGUAUGAAAUGAUAGCUACCUACUGUUACUUUGGUUUGAUUCUAAGAAUUAUACAUGACCCAUCUUUAAUCUUCACUUUGUAUAAAAUUCCCCUUGCUCCUGAGGCCAACGAACUAGGAAGAUUGAAGCAAAAGUAAAGCCUGUAAAUAUUCAAGGCUAAUACUUUGUCAAAACAAGAUCACACCAUAAUGAGUGUUAUGCAUACAUUUAAGAAGACUCUCUUUUGUUCCCUUGUGCCUUUUGGGAAUUCAGUUCCAGAAAGUAGCUGUCAGCUAUCAGGUCAAAACUUCGGUUUAAGGAUGUUGGGCAGCUGCUACUGGAUGCAGAAGCAGAACAGAGAAGCUACAACUAGAAGAGUCAGGGACUUAGUGAAGCUGAACAAAAGACUAGGCAAUGGAUUCACAAUAGGGGAAAAAACAAAACAAAACAAAACACCAAACCAGGUAUCCAGAGGCAAAUAAAAAUUGAAGAACACCAUGAAAUAGCAGUUUGGAAUCAUGCUGGUGAGCAAAAGUUCCAGGCACAUGGAUCCUGGGAAUCGUAACUCCCAGGAUGGAGUGGACUCCUCAAAAUGUGGGACUCACAACAGUGAAGGAAGAAGAUUUUAGACUUUGCUUGGAGUCACUAUUUAAUAAAAAUUAAUUAAAAUGUGA
This is a long non-coding RNA of Canis lupus familiaris (dog), 1201 nucleotides long. RefSeq lists it as uncharacterized. The transcript is spliced from 2 exons. The record is from RefSeq and is a predicted model, not a curated record. Lineage: Eukaryota; Metazoa; Chordata; Mammalia; Carnivora; Canidae.